RNAcentral lists this ribosomal RNA (253 nucleotides) under uncultured bacterium. Its description in RNAcentral is "partial 16S ribosomal RNA". It matches the Rfam family "Bacterial small subunit ribosomal RNA", at positions 524 to 776 of the family's 1533-position model. The record is from RNAcentral.
UACGAAGGGAGCUAGCGUUGUUCGGAAUCACUGGGCGUAAAGAGCGUGUAGGCGGCUCGAUAAGUCUGCUGUGAAAGUCCAGGGCUCAACCCUGGAAGGCCGGUGGAAACUGUCGGGCUAGAGUCCGGAAGAGGCGAGUGGAAUUCCCGGUGUAGCGGUGAAAUGCGCAGAUAUCGGGAGGAACACCAAUGGCGAAGGCAGCUCGCUGGGACGGUACUGACGCUGAGACGCGAAAGCGUGGGGAGCAAACAGG